UCAAUUUUGCUGCCAUCGGUGUAUAUG
RNAcentral lists this small RNA (27 nucleotides) under Bombyx mori (domestic silkworm). RNAcentral's name for it is "ovarian small RNA-24946". Lineage: Eukaryota; Metazoa; Arthropoda; Insecta; Lepidoptera; Bombycidae. The record is from RNAcentral.